Molecule: unclassified non-coding RNA, 341 nt
Filed under: soil metagenome
Description: partial contains 5.8S ribosomal RNA, internal transcribed spacer 2, and large subunit ribosomal RNA
Rfam family: 5.8S ribosomal RNA (bases 1-120)
Source: RNAcentral
GAUGAAGAACGUAGCGAAAUGCGAUAAGUAAUGUGAAUUGCAGAAUUCAGUGAAUCAUCGAAUCUUUGAACGCACAUUGCGCCCUCUGGUAUUCCGGGGGGCAUGCCUGUCCGAGCGUCAUUUGUACCCUCAAGCUUUGCUUGGUGUUGGGCGUCUUGUCUCUAGCUUUGCUGGAGACUCGCCUUAAAGUAAUUGGCAGCCGGCCUACUGGUUUCGGAGCGCAGCACAAGUCGCACUCUCUAUCAGCAAAGGUCUAGCAUCCAUUAAGCCUUUUUUUCAACUUUUGACCUCGGAUCAGGUAGGGAUACCCGCUGAACUUAAGCAUAUCAAUAAGCGGAGGA